Molecule: ribosomal RNA, 329 nt
Filed under: uncultured eukaryote
Lineage: Eukaryota
Description: partial 18S ribosomal RNA
Rfam family: Eukaryotic small subunit ribosomal RNA
Source: RNAcentral
CCCUUAGAUGUCCUGGGCUGCACGCGCGCUACACUGAUGCAUUCAACGAGUCUAAAACCUGCUCUGAUAGGGGUGGGUAAUCUUUUGAAUGUGCAUCGUGAUUGGGAUAGAUGAUUGCAAUUUUUCAUCUUCAACGAGGAAUGCCUAGUAAACGCAAGUCAUCAGCUUGCAUUGAUUACGUCCCUGCCCUUUGUACACACCGCCCGUCGCUCCUACCGAUUGAAUGAUCCGAUGAAUAUCAUGGAUUGAGGAUGCAAGUAGGUUCGCCUAUCUUCAUCUUCGAGAAGUGAAGUAAAUCUUAUCAUUUAGAGGAAGGAGAAGUCGUAACA